RNAcentral lists this long non-coding RNA (222 nucleotides) under Carica papaya (papaya). RNAcentral describes it as "long non-coding RNA (CPAP_LNC011596)". The record is from RNAcentral. Lineage: Eukaryota; Viridiplantae; Streptophyta; Magnoliopsida; Brassicales; Caricaceae.
UCCAGCUUGUAUGCGAAGGUACUCAAAUAUGCCCAGUUGGCCGAAGACCUUAUCUCGGUCAAGUACUAACACAUUGCCCAAGUCCGUACCCAACAAUAACCCCAAAAUCUUAUAAGGAGAUUGCCUGACCAAAUAAGUAAUCCUGCAGACAAAUACACCAGAGUUGCACUUCCUCCUUCCUUGACCCCACCUAUAACUCCACCUGCCCGAGCUAACUUACCC